AGUGAUUAAGCACUUGGCUGCUAACCAAAAGGUUGGUGGUUCAAACCCACCAACCACUC
This is a transfer RNA of Loxodonta africana (African savanna elephant), 59 nucleotides long. It matches the Rfam family "tRNA". From Rfam's summary of the family: Transfer RNA (tRNA) molecules are approximately 80 nucleotides in length. NCBI's taxonomy places the organism in Eukaryota, Metazoa, Chordata, Mammalia, Proboscidea, Elephantidae. The record is from Rfam.